RNAcentral lists this ribosomal RNA (341 nucleotides) under uncultured bacterium. Its description in RNAcentral is "bacterial SSU rRNA". It matches the Rfam family "Bacterial small subunit ribosomal RNA", at positions 32 to 345 of the family's 1533-position model. The record is from RNAcentral.
AAUCAACGCUGGCGGCGUGCCUCAGACAUGCAAGUCGAACGCGAAAUUUCCCUUCGGGGAGAAAGUAGAGUGGCGCACGGGUGAGUAACACGUAGGUAAUUUGCCUUUGGGUGGGGAAUAACUCAGGGAAACUUGAGCUAAUACCGCAUAAUGCAGCGGCUCGACAUCGAGACAGUUGUUAAAAGCGGGGAUUGGAGCAAUCCGACCUCGCGCCUAAAGAGAAGCCUGCGGCAGAUUAGCUAGUUGGUAAGGUAAUGGCUUACCAAGGCGACGAUCUGUAACCGGGCCUGAGAGGGCGGUCGGUCACACUGACACUGACAUACGGGUCAGACUCCUACGGG